UACGUAGGUGGCAAGCGUUAUCCGGAUUUACUGGGUGUAAAGGGAGCGUAGACGGUUGCACAAGUCUGGAGUGAAAGGCGGGGGCCCAACCCCCGGACUGCUCUGGAAACUGUGUGACUGGAGUGCAGGAGAGGUAAGUGGAAUUCCUAGUGUAGCGGUGAAAUGCGUAGAUAUUAGGAGGAACACCAGUGGCGAAGGCGGCUUACUGGACUGUAACUGACGUUGAGGCUCGAAAGCGUGGGGAGCAAACAGG
Molecule: ribosomal RNA, 253 nt
Filed under: uncultured bacterium
Lineage: Bacteria
Description: partial 16S ribosomal RNA
Rfam family: Bacterial small subunit ribosomal RNA
Source: RNAcentral